AAAGGUUAGAAAGCAUUGAGCUGGUUGUUUAAAGGUUAGAAAGCAUUGAGCUGGUUGUUUAAAGGUUAGAAAGCAUUGAGCUGGUUGUUUAAAGGUUAGAAAGCAUUGAGCUGGUUGUUUAUAGGUUAGAAAGCAUUGAAGUGAUGUAAAGAUUGGAGAAAAAAAAGUCACAAAAACUAUUCAAAAGUUAUGGCUUUUUCUCUCUUUCCCUUUCACGUUCUCUCGCCCCCUCUCGCUUUCCCUUUCUCGUUCUCUCGCCCCCUCUCUCUUUCCCUUUCUCGUUCUCUCGCCCCCUCUCUCUUUCCCUUUCUCGUUCUCUCACCCCCUCUCUCUUUCCCGUUCUCGUUCUCUCGCCCCCUCUCUCUUUCCCUUUCUCGUUCUCUCGCCCCCUCUCUCUUUCCCUUUCUCGUUCUCUCGCCCCCUCUCUCUUUCCCUUUCUCGUUCUCUCACCCCCCCUCUCUUUCCCAAACUAUUCACUCCUGGAUCGUCAUUCCUAGAAACCAACUCCUUCCUCCACUCAUUCCUUCCACUGCUUUACUUCAGGAGUCCCCAGAAAAGAAAAGAGAGAAGAUGGAGAGAGUGAACUCUUUCGUUCACCACUACUUCCUGUAUGUUUGCCCACCCCUCCCACACCCUAACCCUGAUCCUGAGGUCAAGAGGCUUGCCUUCGCUCUUACCGUUAGUCCCAGCUACAGCCGUGCGUGUGUGUCCGACGGGGAGUGUGUGAGACGUGCAGACCACCAUGCAGUCUUGGGAAAGUCCGACCAGUGAACAAGCUGUUGAUUUCAUCAAGGCUAUCCCUUCAUCGUUCACACACUAACUCCUCCUCCUCCUCUAACCCUCCCUCAUUCUCUGUAUCCGCUCCCUCCUCUGGCUUUCUGACACUGUCCUACUCUCUCUGUCUCUCUCAACUCCUCCCUCCUCUGGCUUUCUGACACUGCCCUACUCUCUCUGUCUCUCUCAACUCCUCCCUCCUCUGGCUUUCUGACACUGUCCUACUCUCUCUGUCUCUCUCAACCCCUCCCUCCUCUGGCUUUCUGACACUGCCCUACUCUC
Molecule: long non-coding RNA, 1056 nt
Organism: Oncorhynchus tshawytscha (Chinook salmon)
Lineage: Eukaryota; Metazoa; Chordata; Actinopteri; Salmoniformes; Salmonidae
Source: Ensembl